UGACAUAAUUCCAUUGUUUAUAAAAACUUCAGUUUAACAUGUCAGCUACUGAAAUAUUCCUGAUAUCCACAAAGGAUCAAGAGACGGUGGCUAGACAACUCCAUUUUCCUCGUUGUGAUGGGUACCGAGGGCAGCUUGCAGGAUGCUGCUGAGGUGGUGCGGUUUCGCAAGAUUUUAUGAAUGGAAGACAGGAUCAAGUGUCUAAAAAUAUGUGUUAAACACAUAGAAAGCAUGUGCUACAUGGAAAGAUUGCUGAAGAUCUGGAAUGUAAAGCCCCUAAGCCAAUUGCUUUGCAUUGUAUCUCCAUUUAAUGCACCUGAAGUGAAUAAAAUUUCACCAGUGAUGAAUCUGGCUCAAGCUGUUAAUUUGCAAAACAAUGUGGACAAGGGAGAAAAUAGCUCUUUUCCUGAAGGUAUUUCCCGAAGAUAUAUAUUAAGUAUCAAAGCAUACCAUAAAGAAAACUGCCUCACUGAUUUGUUAACAGCAUAUAGUACAGUGCAAUCU
Molecule: long non-coding RNA, 504 nt
Filed under: Anser brachyrhynchus (Pink-footed goose)
Lineage: Eukaryota; Metazoa; Chordata; Aves; Anseriformes; Anatidae
Description: lncRNA (ENSABRG00000001184.1)
Source: RNAcentral